GGACGACCAGCCACACUGGGACUGAGACACGGCCCAGACUCCUACGGGAGGCAGGGGAAUUUUGGACAAUGGGGAAACCCCGAUCCAGCCAUCCCGCGUGUGCGAUGAAGGCCUGCUGUAAAGCACUUUUGGCAGGAAAGAAACGGCACGGAUAAUACCUCGUGCAACUGACGGUACCUUGCAGAAUAAGCACCGGCUAACUACGCCAGCAGCCGCGGUAAUACGUAGGGUGCAAGCGUUAAUCGGAAUUAAGUUACUGGCGUAAAGCGUGCGCAGGCGGUUCAAAAGAUGUGAAAUCCCAGAGCUUAACUUUGAACUGCAUUUUUAACUACCGAGCUAGAGGCCGAGGAGGUGGAAUUCCGCGUAGCAGUGAAAGGCGUAGAUAUGCGGAGGAACACCGAUGGCGAAGGUAGCCUCCCUGGGAUAACACUGACGCUAUAUGCACGAAAGCGUGGGGAGCAAACAGGGAUUAGAUACCCUGGUAGUCCACGCCCUAAAACGAUGUCAACUAGCUGUUGGGGCCUGGCCUUGGUAGCGCAGCUAAUCGCGUGAAGUUGACCGCCUGGGAGUACGGUCAAGAUUAAACUCAAAGGAAUUGACGGGGACCCGCACAAGCGGUGGAUGAUGUGGAUUAAUUCGAUGCAAACGCGAAAAACCUUACCUACCCUUGACAUGUCUGGAAUCCCGAAGAGAUUUGGGAGUGCUCGCAAGAGAACCGGGAACACAGGUGCUGUAUGGCUGUCGUCAGCUCGUGUCGUGAGAUGUUGGGUUAAGUCCCGCAACGAGCGCAACCCUUGUCAUUAGUUGCUACGAAAGGGCACUCUAUCGAGACUGCCGGUGACAAACCGGAGGAAGGUGGGGAUGACGUGUCAAGUCCUCAUGGCCCUUAUGGGUAGGGCUUCACACGUCAUACAAUGGUCGGGACAGUGGUCGCCAACCCGCGAGGGGGAGCCAACUCAGAAACCUGAUCGUAGUCUCGGAUCGCAGUCUGCAACCUGACUGCGUGAAGUCGGAAUCGCUAGUAAUCGCGGGAUCAGCAUGUCGCGGUGAAUACGUCUGGGUCUUGUACACACCGCCCGUCACACCAUGGGAGUGGGUUUUACCAGAAGUAGUUAGCUCAACUGUAAGGAGGGCGAUUACCAGAAGAUUCAUGACUGGGGUGAAGUCGCAUCAAGGUAA
This 1179-nucleotide unclassified non-coding RNA is filed under the name uncultured Bordetella sp. RNAcentral's name for it is "partial 16S-23S ribosomal RNA intergenic spacer". It matches the Rfam family "Bacterial small subunit ribosomal RNA", at positions 298 to 1499 of the family's 1533-position model. The record is from RNAcentral. Lineage: Bacteria; Pseudomonadati; Pseudomonadota; Betaproteobacteria; Burkholderiales; Alcaligenaceae.